RNAcentral lists this long non-coding RNA (5598 nucleotides) under Sus scrofa (pig). RNAcentral describes it as "lncRNA (ENSSSCG00040026824.1)". Lineage: Eukaryota; Metazoa; Chordata; Mammalia; Artiodactyla; Suidae. The record is from RNAcentral.
UUUUUUUUUUUUUUUAAAACAAAGGACCUACUUAGAAAAUGUAGUUCUUUCAUGACAUUUCCAUUCUUUUUUUUUUUUUUUUUUUUUUUUUUUUCACAGCUGCACCUGCAGCAUAUGGGGGUUCCCAAGCUAGGAGUCGAAUCCAAGCUGCAGCUGCCAACCUACACCACAGCCACAGUAACACAGGAUCCAAGCCUCAUCUGUGACCUACGCCACAGCUUGUGGCAACACCACAUCCCUAACCCAUGGAGUGAGGCCAGGGAUUGAACCCACAUCUGCAUGGAUACUGUGUCAGGUUCUUAAACUACUGAGCCAUGACGGGAACCUGCUCAAUUCUCUAUUUUAAGAGUUAAAUACAUUACAACGUGCACACCUGGAUUAUGGAUACAAACAACGAAAACAAACAAACAAACCAAGACCAUGUGUUGAAAAUUCUACGUUGUUCUUGAAGGAAACAUCAGGGGAGGAAAGAGAAAAUUCCCCACUCUAAAAUAUAAAAUGGCAAAGGAUUACCUUAAAUGAACUAGAGUUGCCCACCGAAAUCACUGUGAGCUUAAAAGUGUGUGCUAGGAGUUCCCGUUGUGGCGCAGCGGUUAACGAAUCCGACUAGGAACCAUGAGACAAGAAANCCUUGGAUAGGGCCUAUGGUCACAUAACUAAUAAGAGAGUAGUUCAUCCUUCAUACAGUCCAAAUUCCUAAAGGUUUAUUUACCUAAUGUUUUCUUUGCUCAAACCCGCAUCACAUUUCCUCCUUGAUAUUUUUAUCCAUUCCCUUAGAAUCUCCCUUCUGAUUCCAGCAUCAGCAGUAGAUUCCUUCCCUAAGGCGAGAGCCCUGAUCCCUGAGAACCAGAAGAUUUAGAAAGAUUUCUCACCUUCAUCAGCACUGCCUCUGCCUCCUUUUCUUCCUAUUUUCCAUUAGCAAUCUCAUAGGGAAAAAAAAAAAAUCUACCCACACCAUAACAGAUUCACUAUCUGAUUUAUUCAGAUGCAAUGCCCCGCCCACUCUUUAGCUGCCCAACAGCUCUAGUGCUUCUUUGGCAUGGAAUACCCUGACUGUAACUGUCCUUAUAGGAGUCACUUAGAUGACCUUGUUUGCACCAUCACCUUUAUAGUAACCGUAUGAGGUAAGCAUCAUUAGCCUCCUUUUAAAGAUGCCAGGGAGAAAUAUUUCUAAGAGAGAAAUAGUUGACGCAACGUCACAGGCUUAGUAAGAGUCAGCUUGAGAUGUUGAUCCAGGAGUGUCUGAUUUCAGAAGCCCUGCUGUCAAUCACCAGAUGUAUAGGGGUCCAGCAGGAGGUAUGGACUUAUCCUGAUUUUAACCCCACAGGCUGCACUCAAACCAAACAUAAUUAUGCCAUUCUUAAGAAAGGCUCCCAUUCAAAUCUCCCAGGAGCGGGAAACAAGGCUAGACAAGGACAGAACCCAUAAUAAGGGAGGGUUCUGAAAACCAGUCAUAUAUCUCCUCUCCGUGCUUCCCUGUCAACUCAGGAGGCUUCAGUAUGCCUCUCUUGUUGCCAGGAAAAUUCUCUUUUUCCAGCUUCUCUAAGUCAGUGAACUUUCUGCACAGGUGCUCAGCAACCCUUCCCAGUCUGUUUUCAGCUGGGGAAACCCUUGAGUUAUGGGUCUGUGGGUCCAUGUGGAUAGUGCCAUCCACAGACCAUCCAAGAUGUGCAGGUGGGGGAGCCACAGACAGCAAGUUUCAGUCAAGCGCCUGCAGUAAUGUUUCCAGGGUAAUUAGAUUCAUGACCUGCCACAGGGAACAAUUUCUUCCACUAACUUAUCUGGACUACAGAUACAAGCAUAAACACUCCAGUGGGGCCUCUAAAUUCUGACCCAAACUUGAGCAGAGCUGACUUUCAUCUCAUGCCAGAAGCUGCUUUCUGAAUUAUGGCAGCUUUCCUGUUUCCACCUUGAAGGAAACAGGCCUCUGGGAGUUUCAACAGCCACUUAAGACUUUUCUAUGCAUAUUUGGAUGAAGAAAACCCCAGCGAGCAAAAGACAGAGGAAGAUGGAAAGCAGGAGAGAAAAUGCAGAGGUGGGGGGAACAGAGAAAGAGACCCACUGCCCUCAGCUGCUUACUCUUCUAAAUUAAUCAUCAAGGCCCCCAUUAAUUAUGUUAUUCCCCUGGAUUGACUCAGGCAUAUUACGCCACCACAUACUUCACAUUUUGAUAUGACAAACGAUUUUAUUACUGUACGCCAUCAGCUUUGAUGGUAACCUCAGUCUUCAGGAUGGUGGUUUUUUGGUUUUGGUUUUGGUUUUGGUUUUGUUUUGCUUUUCCUGGCUGAUAAAGGAAAACCCAUAAAGGACAUUACAAAUUGGAAUCAAGCUUGGGAAGUGUGAAAAUCAUUUAGAAACCCAAGAAAUGGCUAUUCGCAUCUGCAACAGUAGUUCAUUAGCAUCCAGCUAUUCAGUCAUUUCAUUAAAGGGCAUUUUCUCUCUGAAGGAAGCAGCCUCUUAUGCCAUCUUAUUCAUGCCCUUCCUGGAUUCCAAGACCCAUUUCAGCGAGGCUGCCGCAGAACCGUAAACUGCAGACAGGACGUGUUAAUUUUUUCCCCUCCCUCCCCAAGACCAUCCAGAAAAGAAGCGAGGCCCAGAAAACAAAUCUCUUCUGCAUGAUCUUGCACCCUCUCUGAGCUUUUCCUGGCUCACGGCAGCACCUGGAUUACUUCAUUAAUGCCUCCCCUUUUUCUAACAAAUUGGUUUCUAUUAGGAAUAUGAUAUUUGGGCCGUGAUCUAAUAAAUGCAUAUAGACAGGGAACUGCAAAAAAAAAAAAAAAAAAAAAAAAAAAAAGACAGACAUCUAAAUAACAAUGUUGAUGGGAAAGAAAGGGUGGAUGGGCUCUUUAAGUCUGGCCCUGAGCUCUGAACCUCUGGAGGGUUAAUUCCCUUACUCUGUACAGGGAGAGUGUGGGCGGGAUGGAGAUUGUCUGGCUGUGUGUUGACAGAGUGUGGAUGAGCAAGAGGAUCAGUUCUGUCCUCCAGACCUUACGUGCCGGGGGGAUUUCACAGGCUUUGCAGAAGACACCUCACUGAAUGUGUACGAAGGAUCCGUCCUGGAGAACAGCAGGAAUGUCGAUUCUGGGAGAAAGAGUCCCAGGUGGCCAGCCUGAAGCCCGUGGGCAGGGUAGAUAUUAAAGCAUUCGUGGCGAAUGCAAAGGAUUCAGCCCUGAGUCGUUACAACCAAAAAAUCAUGACAGAGAAAAAUCUCAGCUGUGGAAAACGGACUCGCGCAGUCACUAACGAAAUAUCUGAGGGGAGUUCCCGCCAGGGCACGGGUUCAAUUCCCAGCCUGGUGCAGUGGGUUAAGGGAUCUGGCAUUGCCAAAGCUGAGGCACAGGUGGCAGCUGUGGCUAGGAUUCCAUCCCUGCCCUAGGAACGUCCAUAUGCUGUGAGUGUGACCAUAAAAAAAUAAGUGUGUGUAUAUAUAUGGGUUUACUAGGUGCCAGGCCUGGACCUAGCGUGGCGGAACAGAUCCAUAAGUGAGGCUGACCAAGUGCCCUCUCCCACAGAGCUUCGAAGCCAGGGGUAGAGAGGAAGGAAAAAAAUAAUAAAUGCCAUCGAGGGGCUUCCGGGUGGCUUAGCGGUUAAGGAUCUAGCAUUGUCACUGCUGUGGCUCUGGUUACAGCUAUGGCACAGGUUCGAUACCUGGCCCAGGAACUUCCACAUGCCACAGUGCCCCCCCCCCCAAAAAAAAACUAUCAAAACACUAAUUCCAGUGAGUGUGGUGUGCCUUGAAUGAAAUCAACAGGAUAAUGAGAGAGCAUAACGGCAAAGGAGAUCUCUCAAAGGCGGCCUGAAAAGAGCCAGUGACGCCGUGGGUCACGUCAGAGAGCAAAGUGGGGACGGGAGGGACAGUGGAGACACUGGCUUCAUCAUGACGACGUUGGUGGAGAAGGAGGCAGGCAGGAAGCUCCAGGUCCCCUGCUAGUCCCGGCUCUGCUGUCUCCGCAUGCCUUGAGCCUCUCCCCAUGUCACCUCCUCUCUUCUGGAUCUGCCAGCCUUUUAAACGGAGACCAGGGGUGGUUCUCACCCCUGUGAGACGAUCUCCAUCAGAACCAUCUCUGUGAAUGUCCCUCGGAUUCUGGGUUAACUCAAAGGUGGAGAAUCUCAGGUGCACGACUCCCACAAGAUCCCCUCUCCCACGCUCUCUGACCUCACCCUACGCUCCCUGCCAAGCUUCUUCCUCAUCAGCCGCAACGAUGCCGCCCUAAGCUUCUAAGACCCCCCAGUCUCCUCUGACCAGGAGCCCUGGGCUCUUCGUAACCAAACAUCCCGAGCCCCUCCUCCCACAGCCCACCGCCCAGAGGUCUAGGCUCGCUGAGCUGAUGCGGGUAACGUAGAUGCUGGGGGAGUUGGGUUCUGAAUGUCAGGGACCCCAUACGGUCCCUGACCUAUCUCCUUACCCGUAUCUGUUCCACGAUUACUGUUCAAUACACCUCUUGUUCGGUACACUUAUCGUGACGGAUUUGGGGCGCAAUUGACAGCAGGCAAACUGCUUCCAUGAAGAUGCUCAUCUUACCAAGCUGUGAGGCUAUAAACGGUCCCCGGACACUCUCUGUCCUCUCAACACUGCCCAAGAGGAGGUGUGAGGACUGGAUAUCUUUUCUGCAGUCUUAGAACGAAUCAAAGGAUUGUCUGCUUCGCUUAGGGGUGUGGCGAUACAGAAUGCAGGAACAAAGACAAGAAAAGUACCGAUGUGGUCAAUGCUGCCUAACCCAGGGGAGCAGAAACCCGCAGCCAUUCCCACGUGGGAGGAAAAGACUCUGAAAGGGAAGGGGGGUGUGUCCACGUACAACCGAAUCCCCUUGUUGUAUAGCAGAAAUGACCGCAACCUUGUAAAUCCACUACACUUUUUUGUGUGUGUGUCUUUUUAGGGCCCCGCCCGCGGCAUAUGGCGAUUCCCAGGCUAGGGGUCAAAUCGGAGCUAUAGAUGCCAGCCUGCACCACAGCCCCAACAAUGCGGGAUCCGAGCCCCGUCUGUGACCCACACCACAGCUCACAGCAAUGCCGGAUCCUUAACCCAGUGAAUGAGGCCAAGGAGCGAACCUGCGUCCUCAAGGAUAUUCGUUGCAUUCGUUUCCAACGAGCUACGACGCAAACUCCUAAAUCAGCUGUGCUUCAAUCCAACUUGAAAAAAGGAAAAGCCAGAGAACCAAAAGCAUAUUUAGGGUCCACUUCAUUCAGGGGGACUCUUACCAGGGUGCUGCACGUACCUCAUCUCAUCAAAUCAGGACCGGCUGCAUCAUUUGUGGGGCUGGAGCCACAGUGAAAAUGCAGGGCCCAUGAUUCAAAAGUCAUUAAGGCUUUCAAAACGGCAGCAGCAAAGCAGGAAGCCAAGCACGGGCCCUUCGGAGAGCAGAGAACUGAACCCGAGGGGGUGAACCCUCCCAGCCACAUUCCUACCACCCCUGUUUUACAUAUGAUGCCAGGUAAGGGAACUCGCCCAAGGACACAGCCGGAAAAGGGCACAAGAGAAAUUUAAGACCAGGGUCGGCCUCGAUCCACAGACCUGCACAAGGAGUCCCAGAGAUUCACACACACACACACACACACACACCCCGUAAUUGAUUUCACUCCAAAAAUAUGGAGGCCCCC